Xyrauchen texanus (razorback sucker) is the source of this 373-nucleotide long non-coding RNA. RefSeq lists it as uncharacterized. NCBI's taxonomy places the organism in Eukaryota, Metazoa, Chordata, Actinopteri, Cypriniformes, Catostomidae. The record is from RefSeq and is a predicted model, not a curated record. The transcript is spliced from 5 exons.
AAACACUUCUCAUCAAACCGAAAGUCAAAUUCUCUCAGACAUUUUGUUGAAGCUCAACAUUGGAGGACAUUUUACAUCGACUGCAGUGUGUUUUCAGUCACGAGCAAGAACAUCCACAACAACUUCAAUCUCUCACUCUCGGUCUGAAUACUCUCCCGCAAUAUUCAAAGGUCAAGUCUAUUAGGAGGCUUUACUGUGCGUUUCGAUCUUCUCAGUACAGACUUCUCCGAUUUCUCCUCAGGAUUUGACCAUCCUCUGUCCUGACUGUGUAAGAUCUUGGGUUCACCUCCUCCAGGACUGUGGCUCUUUUAGUCCAGACCCAGGUCUUCACAUGCCUUGUCUCCCAACACAGAAUCAUGGCCAUCUGGAACAA